GGUAAAAUGGCUGAGUAUAGGCGAUAAACUGUAAAUUUAUUUACAAGAAAAAAUUCUUUUUUACCA
Molecule: transfer RNA, 66 nt
Filed under: Heterosmylus sp. YW-2016
Lineage: Eukaryota; Metazoa; Arthropoda; Insecta; Neuroptera; Osmylidae
Description: tRNA-Tyr
Source: RNAcentral